Molecule: long non-coding RNA, 1738 nt
Organism: Mustela lutreola (European mink)
Lineage: Eukaryota; Metazoa; Chordata; Mammalia; Carnivora; Mustelidae
Exons: 3
Source: RefSeq, a predicted model, not a curated record
ACAAGGAUGAGUCAAGCCAAGUGGAGACAUCCAAUCAGGAAAGCACCUCCCUAACCACCCGAGAAUGUAGGCCCUGCCUUUUGGGCACCAAUUCUGACCAGAGUGAUAGGCUAGUUCAAAUAGCUACUAUAGGGUGAAUUGUAAUUCAGUUGGCCACCUGUGUGUGGCCAGGCUCAACCGCAUGACCUUUACUCUAUAAAAGUUAGUCUGUGAGGCUGGGAGGGGUCGCCUCUUUGCAAGAGAUGGCCCUCGCUGGUCAGUUUGAUUCUCAAUGCUUGGCGUGAAAUAAAGCUUUCCUUGACCUUCACUUUGUAUCAGUCUUGCUCCUUUGACCAUGGACCCAACAUUGGGGGCUCUCCGGGAUCAAAUGACGAGAACUGAGCCAGCAUCAGAAUUUCUGGGAAAAGCCUCCAGAGUUGGGUGUGACCUGCGUAACUGGCCUCUAGACCAUCCUUGGUGCUUCCUGCACCCACCACAGCUCCUUCUCUCCUCACUGUCGGGAAACAAGAAGAGCAGCCCCUGGACUUAACACCCUCCACUCCGGAUCUUCCCACCCGUGUCUCAGGCAUUACAGUCUAUCUCAAAAAGAACCCAUUCAGGGAUCCGAACUGCCCACACUGAGAAGAGAUGGAUGUGGAACCACAUCCUUACCAACCCAAGGACCAUUGGAUGCGCUGUUGCCAAGUGGAAAACUUGGAGCCUUGCUGGAAGGGAUCUUUACUGUCAUCCUGACCACACCCAUGGCAGUAAAAGUAGAAGACACCAGGGCCUGGAUUCACGCGGGUUAUGUCAAACAAGCCGAGGACGAGGAUGUCCCCCUAGAGAUGAAAGCUGCUGCCAAUGGACUCCACUGACCAUGGAUUAAAGCUAAGACUCAAAAGACUAUGAGUUCAUUGUUGCUCCUAUUGUUACCUGUUUAUGUAAAAGCUUCUAAGUCACCUCAUAAGACAGAAAAGUAUAGGUGAAAAAUUAAAUGAACGGAAUUAAGAGAAGUGAAAAGGUUAUACAAAACAGCGAAUGGCUAACUCAUCAGUUGACUGUGCACUAAUGUUACUUUUUGGCCCCUGCAUUAUAAACGCCCUAAUGUCAUUUGUAAAAAAGAAAAAAAAAUUAGAGCGAUAAAAAUGUUAGUUGUACAUGCUCAGUAUAACCCCUUACAACAGAAGAACAGAACUGGCUGAAAAGUCAAGGAUUUGACUAAUCUCCAAAGAAAAGGGGGGAAUGUAAGGGCCUACUUAGCCAGAGCGAGCCAUUUUGUUGUUUUUGCAGUAAACUUAGAUUGACCAUGCCCCCCACACACACACUGCUCCCUGAGAGGAACUUACUUAGAAACAAGUCUGGGAAACCAGUAAAAUAUGAUUGACCAGCCCCUGACAACAGAGCCCAUUUGCCAGGAUGUGUCAGCUCAGGGGGAGGUAACAGAGCCCAGAAUACAAGGAUGGGUCAAGCCAGUGGAGACAUCCAAUCAGGAAAGCACCUCCCUAACCACCCGAGAAUGUAGGCCCUGCCUUUUGGGCACCAAUUCUGACCAGAGUGAUAGGCUAGUUCAAAUAGCUACUAUAGGGUGAAUUGUAAUUCAGUUGGCCACCUGUGUGUGGCCAGGCUCAACCGCAUGACCUUUACUCUAUAAAAGUUAGUCUGUGAGGCUGGGAGGGGUCGCCUCUUUGCAAGAGAUGGCCCUCGCUGGUCAGUUUGAUUCUCAAUGCUUGGCGUGAAAUAAAGCUUUCCUUGACCUUCA